This 460-nucleotide ribosomal RNA is filed under the name uncultured bacterium. RNAcentral describes it as "partial 16S ribosomal RNA". It matches the Rfam family "Bacterial small subunit ribosomal RNA", at positions 338 to 795 of the family's 1533-position model. The record is from RNAcentral.
CCUACGGGUGGCAGCAGUGAGGAAUAUUGGUCAAUGGACGAGAGUCUGAACCAGCCAAGUAGCGUGAAGGAUGACUGCCCUAUGGGUUGUAAACUUCUUUUAUAUGGGAAUAAAACGUUCCACGUGUGGGAUUUUGUAUGUACCAUAUGAAUAAGGAUCGGCUAACUCCGUGCCAGCAGCCGCGGUAAUACGGAGGAUCCGAGCGUUAUCCGGAUUUAUUGGGUUUAAAGGGAGCGUAGGUGGAUUGUUAAGUCAGUUGUGAAAGUUUGCGGCUCAACCGUAAAAUUGCAGUUGAAACUGGCAGUCUUGAGUACAGUAGAGGUAGGCGGAAUUCGUGGUGUAGCGGUGAAAUGCUUAGAUAUCACGAAGAACUCCGAUUGCGAAGGCAGUUCACUGGACUGCAACUGACACUGAGGCUCGAGAGUGUGGGUAUCAAACAGGAUUAGAUACCCUUGUAGUC